GACGAACGCUGGCGGCGUGCCUAACACAUGCAAGUCGAACGGAGAAUUAGCAAUAAUUCUUAGUGGCGAACGGGUGAGUAACGCGUAGACAACCUACCCUUUAGAUGGGGACAACACCGCGAAAGUGGUGCUAAUACCGACUAUUGCUUGAGAAGCGCAUGCUUUUCAAACUAAAGAUGGCCUCUAUUUAUAAGCUAUCGCUAAAGAAUGGGUCUGCGUCUGAUUAGCUAGUUGGUGAGAUAAAAGCUCACCAAGGCAACGAUCAGUAGCCGGUCUGAGAGGAUGAACGGCCACACUGGGACUGAGACACGGCCCAGACUCCUACGGGAGGCAGCAGUGGGGAAUCUUCCGCAAUGGACGAAAGUCUGACGGAGCAACGCCGCGUGAGUGAUGAAGGUUCUCGGAUCGUAAAACUCUGUUGUUAAGGACGAAUGUAUAGAUUGUGAAUAAUGGUUUAUAAUGACGGUACUUAACGAGGAAGCCACGGCUAACUACGUGCCAGCAGCCGCCGUAA
RNAcentral lists this ribosomal RNA (514 nucleotides) under uncultured bacterium. Its description in RNAcentral is "partial 16S ribosomal RNA". It matches the Rfam family "Bacterial small subunit ribosomal RNA", at positions 28 to 523 of the family's 1533-position model. The record is from RNAcentral.